Myotis brandtii (Brandt's bat) is the source of this 76-nucleotide non-coding RNA. The record is from Rfam. NCBI's taxonomy places the organism in Eukaryota, Metazoa, Chordata, Mammalia, Chiroptera, Vespertilionidae.
GGCAGUUCUCAGGUGACACAACCCGAAAUCAGACUCCCUCCUCUCUGGUUCCACAGUACGUCACCUGAGAACCUCU